UUUUUUUUUUUUUUUUUUUGUCGACAGGGGUGUCCGGAUCAAUUUUUACAGGGUCCGACUAAUCCCUUGCGAUCUAGAUCCGGCGCCCCAAUCCGAUUCUAACACGUUGAGUGCGCGGAGGAAUCCGUAAACCCUUCUUGAGUUGAAGUUUCAAAAUUUGCCCUGUGAUAAUUACUUAAAAAGCAAUAGUGAUUUUGUAACCAGACACGAUUACAGAACAUAUAGAUGGUACGUGAAGGCACAGUCUAGACUCUAGGGGCGAGAGUGAACGUACACUAGUACGCAAGUCACAAGUUUAUAGGACUUUGCGAAUUAUUGUUGACUUACAUAUCUAGCGAACUUUAUUAAUCCAUCAAUUUGCUCUGGUCUGAUAACGAAUGAAAAAACCGCAAUUUGUUUUCCUAAGUUCUUUUAGAUGGCAUGGAAUAAAAUUUUUUUUCAGAAAUAGCUCAAAUGGCUUGAUAUCUUCAUUAUUUUGGAUUAUGUAUUAGAUUAAUUGGAAUGAGCCACCGAGAAGACUGUUAAUACCGGAACAUGAUGGGAUCCUAACAUGGCAAAGCUGCGGAGUUUAUAGUAAACAAGAUGGGUAAAAAGUUUUUAUUUUUAUUUUGGUAAAAAGUUUAUUAAUACUGACCCAGAAGAAAAUAACAUACAAGUGUAAGUUUCUUGGUUGAUUGAACAACGUCUCCGAACUACAAAAAAAAAAAAAAAAAAAAGAGUACAUUAAACUAAUUCCACCAGUAAAUUGCAACGUCCCCCUAGAUAGCAUACUCAAAAGAACUGACGGGUCUGGCAGUGAAUGUGAAGGGCAUCUUCUUUCUCACAGAUCAUUAAUGUCAAGUUUAAUUCUCUGAGGUAAACUGACGGUCUGAUCUAGUAUGCGCAUGCUAAUUACCGCCAAAUUUCAGGAAAUUGAACACGGUUGCUUGUGGGAAUCCUAUCCUCCUGGACAUUCUUGGAUUGAUUGAUUCUAAGAUUGGCAAUGGGAUGGGUGGCCGCGAUCACCCGCCCCACAGGGGGCUAAUGGGGCAGGGUUAGGGCGGGUGCGGGGGUAGUAAAUAUAUAAAAAAUAUAUAUGUAUGUACAUAAUUAUAUAUAUAAUAUAUAAUUUAAUUAGUUACAAACUUAUAGUAAUGAUAUUAUUAGUUAUAUGUAUUAUAUAAUGUAUAUUAGUAUAUGUAAUAUAAUUGAUAUUAUCAAUUAUACUAAUAAUUAUAUAUAUGUACUAAUACAAAUUAUUAAUUGGUUAUAUUAAAUUUACUAAUACAUUUAUACUAAAUCCAUAAUCACACUUAAUACAAUAAUAUUUUUUCUCAAAAAAAAAGUACAAGUACAAUAAUGAAUUAGUGAUUGUAUUUGUGUCAAAAGUGAAAACUUGACUACUUUAGUUGUAUUUAUUUCAUUAUAUUGGAUUGUAUUCAAAUAACUUUUGUUUGAUUGUUUUUAUAAGUUUCAAUUGUAAAAUUACAAUGAAUAAUAAUUUGGUGAUGUGUUGAUAUUUUAGUACUUGAUUAUUUGAUAAAAAUUUAACUAUAAUAAAAUUAUAUAACAAAUUUUUAUUAGUCCCACGGGGCACCCGCUGAGGAACGGGGCGGGGGCGGGGUUGGGCCAUCCUUAUUUUUUUUUCCAAACGAUAACAUUGUAUUAAGUAUCAAAGAUACAAAGUUAGAGCAACUGCUCCUGUACAUCUGCUCGAGCUAACUCCAGCAGCCAUGCUGGGAAGCUUUGCUUCCAUUCAGCUGAAUCAAACAAAUUUAUAGCAAAUUUUGCUAAUUUGUGACUUACAGAGUUGUUACCCCUUUUAGUGUGGGAGAAACAACAUUUGUCAAAAUCUUGUAUCAAGCUCCAGAUAUCCAUCUGGAUGGUGGCUAUACUUGCUCCCUCCUCCCUAGCUUUAAUUUUGUCCACUACCAGCUUGCAAUCCGAUUCUAACUCUACCUUCCUCCAUCCCAUCUACUUAGCAAUUACCAUUGCUUCUCGUAGAGCCAAAGCUUCCUCCACCUGAGCCUCUGCACAGCCUUCAGUUGGCCUCGCCCAUGCCCCUUCCAGUUCCCCUGAUCCAUUUCUUGCCACUAUACCCUACCCUGCUUUGUUAUGUUUUUGGUUUAAGGCUGCAUCAGUGUUGAUUUUGAUCCAGUCCUCUUGAGGUCUUUCCCAUCCCCUAUCCCUCUCCUGCUCUCCACUUGUCACGGUCUCAUAUCUUGACCCCCUCCCUUGUGCCAGGUGAUGCUCAUUCCAAUCCAUCAGUGCUCUGUUGACCACCACAAUAGGCUCAUAACUCCUAUUGUUGAACUGCCUAUCAUUCCUAGCUUUCCAUAUCUGCCACAAGAGGUUUACCGUGAGAGUUAUGUGCUCCCUCCCUUUUUCCCGAACCACAACUCCUCUAAGUUCUUCCCACCAAUGCCAAAAACUAUUCCUAAACACUUCCAGCCCAUCCCACUUUAAUGGUGCCACCUCCCAGAUUGCUGUAGCAUUACUACACGGAAAAAACAGGUGCUCUAAUGUCUCAGAACUAUUUCCACAGCACUUGCACAUAUGGUCCCCCUUGCCACACUUCCCCUUCACUACUGUGUUAGUUGGCAGGAUUCCUUGUAAGUAUUUCCAGAUGAAGUGUUUAAGCUUGUUUGGCAUAUUCAAUCCCCACAGGAAGCUCCAACUUUGAGAUUUAAUCCUCCUGCUAAUGCUUGGCUCUGGAGCUCCUCUAGUCUGACACUGUCCUUUCUUCAUUUCCUUUAUCAGCUUAUAGCCAGUUUUAACAGUAUACACACCUGAGUUGGAUUUCGCCCAAUAGAUCCUAUCUUUGACCCUUCCCAAGCUCAGUGGGAUCUUUAAUAUCUGCCAUCUGCCUUCCUCCUCAAAUUCCCGCAUCACCACCUCUUUAUUCCAUUUUCCAUUCUUGAUCAGCUCACUCACCUUUUGAAACUUACUGUCAUCUUUUUCCUGGGACCUUACUUUCUCAUUUUCUACCCCUGGCAGCCAUCUGUCUUCCCAAAUAUGAAUUGAUUUACCAUCCCUCACCCUCCACCUUAAUCCUUCGGCUAGUAUUCCUUUUGCACUUAACAGACUCUUCCAGCACCAUGAAUCUGAACCUCUUUGUUGUACCUCCCAUAUGGACUUCCCAGCAAAGUACUUGGCUUUCAUUACUCUACUCAUCAGCAAAUUUGGUUGCAUCAGGAUUCUCCACAAUUGCUUCCCUAAUAGUGCUAAGUUAAAAUCCUGUAGAUUCCUAAAUCCCAAACCACCUUCAGCUUUAAUAUCAGUCAUUCUAUCCCAUUUAAUCCAGUGAAGUUUCCUUUCAUUCUCCUUCUGUCCCCACCAAAACUUUGCCAUCUUUGAACACACAUUCUUACACAAUGUCCUUGGCAGCCUACAACAAGACAUCUGGAAGAGCUAGAAUAACUGAUUUCAAAAGGAUCUUCUUUCCUGCCUGGCUCAGGAGUUUUUCCUUCCAACCACCAAGUUUUUUAACUGUUUUCUGCCUAAUAAACUCAAAAACCUGUCUCUUUGAUCUUCCUAUGACCAUAGGAAGUCCUAAGUAUUUGCUUUGAUUAACCUCUUUCAUACCUUCCAGCUCCUUAAGCACUUCUACCCUUUUCCUUCCUUUGACAUUUUUACUGAAAAAGAUAGAGGACUUAUCCUUGUUUAUCAACUGGCCUGAAGCUCUUCCAUAGUCUUCCAAAACCUUCAUCAGCUGCACUGCCUCUCCCCCUUGGCUCUGCAGAAGAUUAGAGAAUCAUCUGCAAAAAAGAGGUGCGACAAACUAGGAGCUUCUUUAGCAAUCUUCAUUCCAUGCAUACUACCCUGCCUAUUAGCUCUCCUUAGUAGAGCAGAAAAACCUUCUGCACAAACCAGAAACAAGUAAGGGGAUAAAGGGUCCCCUUGUCUUAAGUCUCUAGUAGGCUUAAUGUACCCCCUUUUCUCCCCAUUAAUAUUGAUAGCAUAAGUAACACUAGUAAUGCAUCCUAGAAUCCACUGGAUCCAAAUUGGACAGAACCCCGUCUUUUGCAUCAUUUUUGCCAAAAACACCCAUUCUACCUUAUCAUAAGCCUUAGACAUAUCAACCUUAAUAGCCAUAUAACCAUCAUUUCCAGAUCUUUUAUUAUUUAGAAAGUGAAUGCUCUCAUGUGCAAUAAACACAUUGUCCAAAAUCUGCCUACUAGGCACAAAAGCAGACUGAGAUGAACUAAUACAACAGUCCAACACAGUUUUAAAUCUGUUGACUAAGACCUUGGAAAUGAUCUUAUAAAUGACAUUACACAGACUUAUAGGUCUAAACUCUGUGAUCAGGUUUGGGGAUUCAGUUUUAGGAAUUAGACUGAUCAGGGUCUCAUUUAUGGACUUCAGCAUAUGACCAGAGUGAAAAAAACUUUGAACAGCACUGAUAACAUCACUUUUAAUGACAUGCCAAAACUUUUGAAAAAAGAUAGGGGACAUACCAUCUGGUCCAGGAGACUUGUUUGGAUGCAUGGAAUUGACUGCCUGACUGAUUUCUUUAUCUGAAACUGGCCUUGUCAACUUUCUGUUCAUUUCAGCAUGGGCGCGUCCUUUAUCUGUUGGGCCAUCCUUAUUUGAUUCCUGUUUUUGUAUCUGCAUGGGCGCGUAACCACGCAAUUAGUGGAUCACUACUAUAGGUAAUCCUUAUGUUUUAAACUAAUAUUCAAGCAGUGUUUGGUAAUGGAAUUAGACUGGUUGGUUAAUUUUGGUUCAAAAUUUUAGAGGAUAGAGAAAUUUGUGUUAAAUCAAACUAAGUUGAAUUAUUAAAAAAUUAAAGUGCAAAUAAUAACAAGACACUUGACAUAAUACUAUAGGUAGCAUUGAAUACUUGUAACCGAGGAUCCCAAGUGCGUAACCAUGCAAUUAGUGGAUCACUACUAUAGGUAAUCCUUAUGUUUUAAACUAAUAUUCAAGCAACCGGAGUCACAUCAGCGUCUAAUGCCCAUAAAGCCGAAUUGGUUGAGUUGUAUUGUUUAUAAUAAUCAGGUUGGUGACAUCUGGGAUACUGUGUUCUUGGUUCCACCUUUUGGGAAAGUAUUCUUAUUUUUUUCAUCUGCAGUUCUGCACACAGGAUUCCUCUCAAGUUCCCUUUUAACUGAAUGCUUUUCUUGUUAUGAAGAUUUCUUUGACUCGAAUACUCACUUUAAAAUUCUGAUGAAAAGUAUACUAGAAACCUCACCGGAAUGUUCUUAUGCGGUGUUUCUUUUAUUUCAAACUAUUUCACAUAGGCUGCUUAAACUUGUAAAAAAGAUUCCUUUAAAAUCCAAAAACUAUGUCAAAAGGGGCCUGAAAGCCCGAAUACAGACUGCAGAACAACUUUUAUGACGAAAUGAUUUUUUUUUCUUCCCUUUUUAGCGUGGAAACAUUUUUCAUUUUUCCAAAACUUGUUUCAUUCUUUAAUCCCCUUGAGUGAAUUUAAAGAAAACAGGGAUAGACCCUCUAUUUGAAUUGAUGACAGACAAAAGACACUACUGUCUAAUCUGUACAUAAACCUAGCUUGCUAAAUGGUUAACGGGGAAGAAGUCUUCCGCUUUCUCAGUUUACAAUAAUAUUUUGGUGCAAACUUGGACCAACCCGUAACAGCACCGUUGAUUGAGUGCUAUGAAUUAUGAUAGCAUUAUGAAGUUGAUGAGUAUUGAUCAAACUAAGGCCAGCCAAGUAAGCAACUUCAUAUAAGUAAUUAUUGCCACUUAUUCUCGUCUCUCUCUCUCUCUCUCUCGAGUACUUGCAUUGCAUGUGCAAUUGUGCAUGCUUUUACAGCAUACAGUGACACAUUUGUUUUCUUCCAACUGAACUCCAAAACAGAAGCAAAGAAGCAAGGAAAGGAACUAGUCGUUCUUAUUUUAACUGACAAAAAACUAGUACGUAGCAGAAAACAACAAAGAAAUUCUAGCGGUACGUGGUAGAAAACAUCAAAGAAAUUCCUAUUAUUUGUUGUGAAUAGGAGGAGAGUCACGGUGUUGUCGCUGGUAGUCGUCCGUCUUUAUAAUGUCAUGGGAACCGAUGGCCUCCAAUGUCAUGUCUUGCUCAGCUGCUGACCCUCUUGAAACCUGCAUAAACACUACAUUUUACAUAUCAUAUGUGCUAUUUUUGCUUUAGACUAGUAGGGUCUUAUUUUUCUCUUACUUUUGAGUUUCACUUUUCUAGUUUAUUACUGUUGCGUGAAUGGAUAUACAUGUGUAGGUAGAGAAUCAUCUGAUUUGCUUUUUCUGAAUUUGUUGAAUAAAACAGGUUUUUUGUUGCAACUUUUUAGCUUAAAGAUACGAGUAUUGUUCAAGGUUCUCCAUCCACUCAUUCCUGUUACAUCCUUUGAUGAUGGAAAAAGUAGUUCGGCCAAAUUUUGGCGGGGAGGAUCUGUUUAAAACAUACUAGAAAUUACCUGUUUUUUAUAUUGUGAAGAAGCAUUAAGUGACAGUAAAAGCACCUCUAAUCUAUCCCGAAAACAUUUACUCGUAAAUAUAUAAUUAUCUUCAUGAAACCUUGCCAAAAUGUAAAUGCUUGUAAAGGGGUUUGUACUUUCAUGUCUUAAUCCUGGGAUUGGAAUUGUGUGCAUUAAAAAAUUGUCAUGAUCAUCUCAGACAUGAUAACAUUUACGAAUCAAAAUUCACAAUAAAAAACCCUCUAAUCAAAUUUGAAGACCAGUACUUUUCAGCUUAAGUACCUCUGUUUUUGUUGCCUCGAGGAAAUUCAUGCGAGAAGAAGACUCAACAACCUUUCUUCCUGCGUGACAUACUCCAUUAAUAUAAUGAAUAGUAAUGGUAGUGGUGCAGAUUACCGCAAUUCUCAAAAGAAGAUCAAUAUUUAGUCAAAACGAAUCAAUAAAAUACAAAACAUUAAUAGAUUGAUAAGUGCAAGGUGAAAUUUCUUAUUUGUACUGCCUUUAGACUACUACUCCAAUCAAACUCGAAACAAAAGCAAUAAUAUGGGUAAAUUGUGACGGCCUGGAGGAAACAAAGGCUAAUGUAAAUGAUCAAUUAUGGGAGGGAGGGCGAGUGCGCGGUUGGGAAUAAUCGGAGUAAAAGAAUCCAGGAUGUUUGUCGUGGUUAAUCUUGUGCCCAGAAGAAUCAUAAACCGAUCGUAAAAUGUUGGAGUGACACCUGAUUUCCAUCUUGGAUCCUCAUCUUUUUCCUUCACGGCCUUUGAACCAAAUAUUGGAUCAAAGCGGUCUGGGAUGCUACCAGACGGCAUGCUAUGUUGGCGUCCAAUUGCAUUUGCUUCUUGUUCAAAAGAAUCCUUCCUGAGCUCGAUUUUCUCUCCAAUUUUCACCUUGGGAGCAGUAAUAAUAAUGAUGAUAAAUCCUACUACUACUACUAACUAACUUAUCUAUUGCAUCGUUAAACUUCCACCAUAAACACGGUUGAAACUAAGAAGUAUGUCGAGUGCAAACCUUGCAAUCAAGAAAUUCCUUGAGAGAACCAGCAUUGGUGAUGACCCUGAAGCUGCGAGCAUUAGAUUUACGCGCAUGCAUGGGGAAAAACAAGAAAAGGAUGAAAAAAGAAAGUGAAGUGCUCCUAGAUAAGAAGAAAAACGAGGGUAGAGAUGCCAUAUGGGAGAGUAACUGGUGAUUAAGAGUUGGAUGUAAUUUAGAGAUUCUAUUUGGUCUUGGGCGCAAUGAGUUUUUGCCAGGAAGAAUGCGAUGAACGAGAAGAGAGAAAGCAUUCUACAGAUAUGUUCAGGUAAUAAACAGUGGAAGAGUUUAUUGGAAAAAGAGGCUUGAGUCAUUUGAUCACCAUGGCAUAAAUCCCACUGCAUCCUGACUAAUGUAACCAAUGAAAUGGUCUUUGAUCGAUCGUACUACUUGGGAUGUUAAUUAUCCCCUACAGCACAAGUUACCACAAAGAGUGUGGCGGCAUCUCUCCGGUCUGUCUUUGAAUUGUGAAAAUUUGAUAGAAAUCAAUAAAACAUACACGGAUUAGAUUCAUUGCAAUUGCGAAUGCAAAUUAAUUGAGAGACCGAUGCAGUUUGAUGUAUCGAUCUGAGCCAUAAAUUGGUAACACAUGCCUCGUGCAAUCAAACAAAUUGUGUUCAAUCAAUCAUUCUGUAUGACAGUCUUCAUUUUCCAGUUUCCACAAAAAUGGGUGUCACGGUGGUGUUCGAGUCCUCUCAUGAAGUACCCGAGUUGGGCAAAUCCCUUUCCUGCUCAGUGCAUUCUGGAAGGGUCAAGGGGCCCAAGGGCCUUUGUUCGCUAACACCCUUUAAUGCGAUCCAUCGAUGCAAGCUGUGUUUUUUUUUGUUUUAUGGUCACUCAACGUCCAUCCUUACCACAGCAAAAUCACCACCGGAUUCAUUCAUAUACUCUGCCUUUGCUGUUUGUUAUAGCAUAACAAGGAUUAUAAAUAAGACUCAAACUUAGACACAUAAGGUGAUAAUUGAGAUCAUUAUUUCAUCGGCUUUCGCAAUCGAAAAAUAAUAUACAGCAAGACUGCCAAGCCUAUUGAAAUCAGAAAUAAAAGAAUUCCGUACCCCAAUUGACGCUGCCUCUAGAAAUGGUGUAGGGAACUAGAGACACCAUCCAACUACGUGCUUGCAUUUAGUAUAUUAUCUAUGCUUUGAACCCUUCUUAGACAAAACAGUGGUGCUUUUUUUGUUACUCUUAUUACUAGACAAAAAAAGGACUAGGAGAAUGGAUAGACAAACUCCAAAAGUCACACAGGCUCGCCAAUCCAGCAAAUAAGUAACGAGAGGUCGAAGAAGAAGAUUUGCCAACACGGGGACAAGUUUGCUAAAACCCAGAGAACGGAGAGUAAAAACUGGCGACUGGCUUUAGUUGGUCCAAUGGGUCAGCUAAUUCCUUGCACGAAAUCUAAGCACUACAGGCCCCGUGUGUGUCUUCUGGAUCCAAUUUUCCCUAGACAUUACAACCAGAAUGAGGCCAUAAGCUCCAUUCCUUGCACGAAAUCAAGCCUUGCGGUUUUCCCUAACAAAUGGCUGCAAAUUUAGACUACUCUCGAGGGGGGCAGUGCUGACAACAUGUUAAACAUCUGAAAUGUAUACGUGCGCGUCUUCAUCCCCUUGGAUAUACAAAUACAAGCAGCAGAGACGGAAAACGAGAUAGUAAAACCAAGAAGCCUACUUAGUUUCAAAACGCACGUUGACAUAAAAAGAAAUUAGAUUAUUACAAAAUUACAACAACAUAUGCGGGAGGCCAAACCAACGGAUUGAGCGGGUACAGUCAAACCAAUUACUAUUUAUUCCUAGAAGCAAACUGAUAGGCUAUAUUUAUGUACAGGAAGACAAGCUUGUGGACGUUAGACAGCACAUAUGUGACGAAAGCCAGCAGCCGAAGAUUUAGGAAAUGGGAAA
RNAcentral lists this long non-coding RNA (9297 nucleotides) under Coffea arabica (coffee). RNAcentral describes it as "long non-coding RNA (CARA_LNC000879)". Lineage: Eukaryota; Viridiplantae; Streptophyta; Magnoliopsida; Gentianales; Rubiaceae. The record is from RNAcentral.